This 253-nucleotide ribosomal RNA is filed under the name uncultured bacterium. RNAcentral describes it as "partial 16S ribosomal RNA". It matches the Rfam family "Bacterial small subunit ribosomal RNA", at positions 524 to 776 of the family's 1533-position model. The record is from RNAcentral.
UACAGAGGUCCCAAGCGUUGUUCGGAUUCACUGGGCUUAAAGCGUGUGUAGGCGGAGUGCUAAGUACCUUGUGAAAUCCCACGGCUUAACCGUGGAACUGCUUGGUAUACUGGUUCUCUUGAGCCACCUAGGGGCAACCGGAACAAACGGUGGAGCGGUGAAAUGCGUAGAUAUCGUUUGGAACGCCAAUGGUGAAAACAGGUUGCUGGGGGUGUGCUGACGCUGAGACACGAAAGCCAGGGGAGCGAACGGG